ACCUACCGAUCGAGGAGGAGGUUGCCGGCCUAUCAGCUAGUUGGCGGGUAACGGCCCACCAAGGCGACGACGGGUAGCAGGCCUGAGAGGGUGGUCUGCCACACUGGGACUGAGACACUGCCCAGACUCCUACGGGAGGCUGCAGUCGAGGAUCUUCCGCAAUGGGCGCAAGCCUGACGGAGCGACGCCGCGUGGAGGACGAAGGCCUUAGGGUUGUAAACUCCUGUCGAGGGUUAUGAAUGGCGUUUGGUGAACAGCCGAACGAGUGACGUAAGCCCUGGAGGAAGCACUGGCUAACUCUGUG
This 304-nucleotide ribosomal RNA is filed under the name uncultured bacterium. RNAcentral describes it as "bacterial SSU rRNA". It matches the Rfam family "Bacterial small subunit ribosomal RNA", at positions 210 to 507 of the family's 1533-position model. The record is from RNAcentral.